Molecule: ribosomal RNA, 229 nt
Filed under: uncultured bacterium
Lineage: Bacteria
Description: partial 16S ribosomal RNA
Rfam family: Bacterial small subunit ribosomal RNA
Source: RNAcentral
UACGUAGGCGGAAAAUUAAGUCAGUAGUGAAAUCCUGCAGCUUAACUGUAGAACUGUUAUUGAUACUGGUUUUCUUGAAUAUAGUUGAGGUAGGCGGAAUGUGUAAUGUAGCGGUGAAAUGCUUAGAUAUUACACAGAACACCGAUUGCGAAGGCAGCUUACUAAACUGUUAUUGACGCUGAGGUACGAAAGCGUGGGGAGUGAACAGGAUUAGAUACCCUGGUAGUCC